RNAcentral lists this ribosomal RNA (253 nucleotides) under uncultured bacterium. RNAcentral's name for it is "partial 16S ribosomal RNA". It matches the Rfam family "Bacterial small subunit ribosomal RNA", at positions 524 to 776 of the family's 1533-position model. The record is from RNAcentral.
UACGGAGGAUCCAAGCGUUAUCCGGAUUUAUUGGGUUUAAAGGGUGCGUAGGCGGGACGACAAGUCAGUGGUGAAAGUUUGCAGCUCAACUGUAAAAUUGCCGUUGAAACUGUCGUUCUUGAGUGUAAAUGAGGUAGGCGGAAUGUGUUAUGUAGCGGUGAAAUGCUUAGAUAUGACACAGAACACCAAUUGCGAAGGCAGCUUACUAAGAUACAACUGACGCUGAGGCACGAAAGCGUGGGGAUCGAACAGG